GGUUAUUAGGCCGUAAUUUGAGUAUUGAUAUUUCAAGAACUUGUGCUUUAAGCACCUGAGAUUUGCAUAUUUUGAGUUAUAUAAUAGUAUUUGAUCUUCGGAUCCUCGGUUGAGUUUUGGAAUCCACUUUUCAGAGUUUAUUACAGAUUACAGAUAUGAGUUUGGUCUUCAUUAUAGACCCUUGAGUUACUUUAAGGUGGAUUUGCUAAAAGUUUUGAGCCUAAGUAUGGGAGUAGUAUUUAGCA
This 245-nucleotide long non-coding RNA is filed under the name Capsicum annuum. Its description in RNAcentral is "long non-coding RNA (CANN_LNC002278)". Lineage: Eukaryota; Viridiplantae; Streptophyta; Magnoliopsida; Solanales; Solanaceae. The record is from RNAcentral.